This 216-nucleotide ribosomal RNA is filed under the name Glomeromycotina sp. Its description in RNAcentral is "partial small subunit ribosomal RNA". The stretch from base 40 to 216 matches the Rfam family "Eukaryotic small subunit ribosomal RNA", at positions 686 to 864 of the family's 1831-position model. The record is from RNAcentral. Lineage: Eukaryota; Fungi; Glomeromycota.
GGGUCAGUAGGUUGGUCGUGCCACCGGUACGUACUGGUCUCACUGAUUCCUCCUUCCUGAAGAACCGUAAUGCCAUUAAUUUGGUGUUGCGGGGAAACAGGACUAUUACUUUGAAAAAAUUAGAGUGUUUAAAGCAAGCUAACGCUUGAAUACACUAGCAUGGAAUAAUGAAAUAGGACGAUCGAUCCUAUUUUGUUGGUUUCUAGGAUUGACGUA